This 403-nucleotide ribosomal RNA is filed under the name bacterium. RNAcentral's name for it is "partial 16S ribosomal RNA". It matches the Rfam family "Bacterial small subunit ribosomal RNA", at positions 355 to 776 of the family's 1533-position model. The record is from RNAcentral.
UGGGGAAUAUUGCACAAUGGAGGGAACUCUGAUGCAGCGACGCCGCGUGAACGAAGAAGGCUUUCGAGUCGUAAAGUUCUUUUAUAUGGGAAGAUAAUGACGGUACCAUAAGAAAAAGCCCCGGCUAACUACGUGCCAGCAGCCGCGGUAAUACGUAGGGGGCUAGCGUUGUCCGGAAUCACUGGGCGUAAAGGGUUCGCAGGCGGAAAUGCAAGUCAGGUGUAAAAGGCAGUAGCUUAACUACUGUAAGCAUUUGAAACUGCAUAUCUUGAGAAGAGUAGAGGUAAGUGGAAUUUUUAGUGUAGCGGUGAAAUGCGUAGAUAUUAAAAAGAAUACCGGUGGCGAAGGCGACUUACUGGGCCCAUUCUGACGCUGAGGAACGAAAGCGUGGGUAGCAAACAGG